GACGGAGGAUGCAAGCGUUAUCCGGAAUGAUUGGGCGUAAAGCGUCCGCAGGCGGCAGUUCAAGUCUGCUGUCAAAGACCGGGGCUUAACUUCGGAAAGGCAGUGGAAACUGAACAGCUAGAGUAUGGUAGGGGCAGAGGGAAUUCCUGGUGUAGCGGUGAAAUGCGUAGAGAUCAGGAAGAACAUCAGUGGCGAAGGCGCUCUGCUGGACCAUAACUGACACUCAGGGACGAAAGCUAGGGGAGCGAAUGGG
Molecule: ribosomal RNA, 253 nt
Filed under: uncultured bacterium
Lineage: Bacteria
Description: partial 16S ribosomal RNA
Rfam family: Bacterial small subunit ribosomal RNA
Source: RNAcentral